RNAcentral lists this unclassified non-coding RNA (342 nucleotides) under Hevea brasiliensis (rubber tree). Lineage: Eukaryota; Viridiplantae; Streptophyta; Magnoliopsida; Malpighiales; Euphorbiaceae. The record is from RNAcentral.
CUGUCCUGUGAAUGAAUUUUGCAUAAGAUCAAAUUUGGGUGUGUACAUUAUUAAUGUCUGGCGCUGUAUGCAUAUAGUGUUCCAUCUGUUACUUCUAGAAAACAUGAGAAUAAUUAAAAUGAAAUUAUUUUCUCUUAAUCUUUAGGAAUGAUAGUUAAAAUGAAAUUGUUCACUCCUAAACUUUUUGCUUUUUCUAUCAAGUCUUCUAAGCGAAAGCUUUUGCUGUUGAAUCCCUAAAGCUUUUGAUCUUGUGCUAUUGAGUGUGUGUGUGUGUAUGUGUUUUUUUUUUUUUAAGCAAAAUGGUCAAAUUGAUAUCUAAUUUAAUGAUGACAUUAAUAUUUG